This 199-nucleotide long non-coding RNA is filed under the name Gossypium barbadense (sea-island cotton). RNAcentral's name for it is "long non-coding RNA (GBAR_LNC009208)". Lineage: Eukaryota; Viridiplantae; Streptophyta; Magnoliopsida; Malvales; Malvaceae. The record is from RNAcentral.
UGGAAACACAAAAAUUUAUAUGCUUUUUGAUACCCAUUUUUACUUAAAUUCAUGCAAAUCCUGUUAAAUUCUUGUCAAAAAAUAAUUAAAUACUAUAAAAUAAUUAAAUUAUGUUAAAAAUAUGAACAUGGUGAAUUUUAGUUAAUUUUAUACUUAAUUUUGAUUAAUUUUGACUAUUUUCGACUGAUUCACGCAAAGG